GAGACGUAAAUUUUAUAAGGGUUUGUAUUACUCCUUAGGGCGAUUGAUUUAGCGGCCGCGAAUUCGCCCUUAGAGUUUGAUCCUGGCUGAGGAUGAACGCUGGCGGCGUGCCUAACACAUGCAAGUCAAGGAGAAGUUUCACUUCGGUGAAGCGGAUACUGGCGCACGGGUGAGUAACACGUGGAUAAUCUGCCCUUUACACAGACAUAACUCAGGGAAACUUGAGCUAAUAUCUGAUGAGGCCUCCGGGUCAAAGCUUCGGCGGUAAAGGAUGAGUCUGCGUCUGAUUAGCUAGUUGGUAAGGUAAUGGCUUACCAAGGCGACGAUCAGUAACUGGUCUGAGAGGACGAUCAGUCACACUGGAACUGAGACACGGUCCAGACUCCUACGGGAGGCAGCAGUGAGGAAUUUUGGACAAUGGGGGAAACCCUGAUCCAGCGACGCCGCGUGUGGGAUGAAUGGGUUAUGCCCUGUAAACCACUGUCAGCAGAGAAGAAAAGGUUCCUUUGGAACCCGGGACUGUAUCUGCAGAGGAAGGACCGGCUAACUACGUGCCAGCAGCCGCGGUAAUACGUAGGGUCCAAGCGUUAUCCGGAAUUACUGGGUAUAAAGGGUGCGUAGGCGGUCUUGUGCGUCGAAGGUUAAAGGCCAUGGCUCAACCAUGGAAAUGCCCUCGAUACGGCAAGACUUGAGUAUGAGAGAGGAAGAUGGAAUUCCUGGUGUAGCAGUGAAAUGCGUAGAUAUCAGAGGAACACCGGUGGCGAAGGCGGUCUUCUGGCUCAUUACUGACGCUGAGGCACGAAAGUGUGGGGAGCGAACAGGAUUAGAUACCCUGGUAGUCCACACCGUAAACGAUGUAUGCUUGGUGUUAGAACAAAUUGUUGUUCUAGUGCCGGAGAUAAUUCGUUAAGCAUACCACCUGGGAAGUACGAUCGCAAGGUUGAACUCAAAGGAUUGACGGGGCCCGCACAGCGGUGGAUUAUGUGGUUUAAUUCGAUGCAACGCGAAGACCUUACCCAGGCUUGAAGUGUAACGGACUACUGCCGAAAGGUAGUUUCCCUUCGGUCGUUACAGAGGUGCUGCAUGCUGUCGUCAGCUCGUGCGUGAGGUGUUUGGGUUAAGUCCCGCAACGAGCGCCAACCCCCUAUCUUUAUUGCCCCUCAAGGUAUGCUCUGGAACUCUAAAGAGACUGCCCCGCCCAACCGGAAGGAAAAGGAGGGACACAAUUCAGUCCUUCUUGUGCCCUCUAA
Molecule: ribosomal RNA, 1250 nt
Filed under: uncultured bacterium
Lineage: Bacteria
Description: partial 16S ribosomal RNA
Rfam family: Bacterial small subunit ribosomal RNA
Source: RNAcentral